Molecule: ribosomal RNA, 485 nt
Filed under: uncultured Acidobacteriota bacterium
Lineage: Bacteria; Pseudomonadati; Acidobacteriota
Description: bacterial SSU rRNA
Rfam family: Bacterial small subunit ribosomal RNA
Source: RNAcentral
GCGAAGUCGAUUUCCGCAAGGACAUCUGCAGAGGUGCUGCAUGGCUGUCGUCAGCUCGUGUCGUGAGAUGUUGGGUUAAGUCCCGCAACGAGCGCAACCCUUGUUCUCUGUUGCCAUCAGGUCAAGCUGGGCACUCUGAGAAGACUGCCGGUGACAAACCGGAGGAAGGUGGGGAUGACGUCAAGUCAGCAUGGCCUUUAUGUCCAGGGCUACACACGUGCUACAAUGGCCGGUACAAAGCGUCGCAAACUCGCGAGGGUGAGCUAAUCGCAUAAAGCCGGUCUCAGUUCGGAUCGCAGGCUGCAACUCGCCUGCGUGAAGCUGGAAUCGCUAGUAAUGGCGUAUCAGAAUGAUGCCGUGAAUACGUUCCCGGGCCUUGUACACACCGCCCGUCACAUCACGAAAGUGGAUUGUACUAGAAGUCCUAAUCAAACAGGCCCAAGGUAUGAUUCAUGAUUGGGGUGAAGUCGUAACAAGGUAACCGU